RNAcentral lists this ribosomal RNA (513 nucleotides) under Hypermnestra helios (desert apollo). RNAcentral describes it as "partial 16S ribosomal RNA". The stretch from base 386 to 513 matches the Rfam family "Bacterial large subunit ribosomal RNA", at positions 2473 to 2600 of the family's 2925-position model. Lineage: Eukaryota; Metazoa; Arthropoda; Insecta; Lepidoptera; Papilionidae. The record is from RNAcentral.
UUUUUGAUUAAUAAUUUAAAGUCUAAUCUGCCCACUGAUGGAUAUAUUAAAGGGCUGCAGUAUUUUGACUGUACAAAGGUAGCAUAAUCAUUAGUCUCUUAAUUGGUGACUUGUAUGAAAGAUUUCAUGAAAUAUAUACUGUCUUUUAUUAAUUUAUAUAAUUUAAUUUUUUAGUUAAAAAGCUAAGAUAUAUUUAAAAGACGAGAAGACCCUAUAGAGUUUUAUAUUUAAAUAAGUUAAAAUUUUAUAUAAAAUUUAUAAUUUUAAUUUAUUUAAAUAUUUUAUUGGGGUGAUAGAAAAAUUAAAAUAACUUUUUAUAUAAAUUUUCAUUUAUAGAUGAGUAAAUGAUCCGUAAUUUACGAUUAAAAGAAAAAAUUACCUUAGGGAUAACAGCGUAAUUUUUUUUUUUAGUUCAAAUAAUAAAAAAAGUUUGCGACCUCGAUGUUGGAUUAAGAUAAAAUUUAAAUGCAAAAGUUUAAAAUUUUUGAUCUGUUCGAUCAUUAAAAUCUUACA